RNAcentral lists this ribosomal RNA (445 nucleotides) under uncultured bacterium. RNAcentral's name for it is "partial 16S ribosomal RNA". It matches the Rfam family "Bacterial small subunit ribosomal RNA", at positions 354 to 796 of the family's 1533-position model. The record is from RNAcentral.
GUGAGGAAUAUUGGUCAAUGGGCGGGAGCCUGAACCAGCCAAGUCGCGUGAAGGAAGAAGGAUCUAUGGUUCGUAAACUUCUUUUGCAGGGGAAUAAAGUGCAGGACGUGUCCUGUUUUGUAUGUACCCUGAGAAUAAGGAUCGGCUAACUCCGUGCCAGCAGCCGCGGUAAUACGGAGGAUCCGAGCGUUAUCCGGAUUUAUUGGGUUUAAAGGGUGCGUAGGUGGUUUGAUAAGUCAGCGGUGAAAGUUUGCAGAUUAACUGUAAAAAUGCCGUUGAAACUGUCGGACUUGAGUGUAAAUGAGGUAGGCGGAAUGCGUGGUGUAGCGGUGAAAUGCAUAGAUAUCACGCAGAACUCCGAUUGCGAAGGCAGCUUACUAAGCUACAACUGACACUGAAGCACGAAAGCGUGGGGAUCAAACAGGAUUAGAAACCCCUGUAGUCC